UUUGGUUUUCCAUUAAUUUCUUUCACAUUACUUCUCAUGUUCCUCUUCUCGCUCAAAUUGCAGGUAUGUUUCACUUUCAAUCAAUUUUUCCUAUAUCUUUUUUCUUUUUUUCCUUUUGUUCUUUCUUCACUCUGGGGUUUUCUAGAUCUGCUAUUUGGUUUUGGAUUUUGUUGUACUUAUGAAUUGUGUUGAGUUUCUCUGCACUCUGUUCUUGGUUUACCCAUUUCUUCGUGAUGAUACGUUGGCAGAUAUGUGUUGGUUUCCUUCAAAUAAGAAUUUGAUAAAGAACAAACAGUCUAUGUAUUAAUCUUUUUGUUUCUAUUAAUUUGCGCCUUUCUCCCAUUUUUUCAGUUGCGCCUCCCUAUUUAUGAUGCUUUUGUUGUUUUGUUUAUUUCAUCAUAAAUAGUUUUCUUCUCAUUCUUUCGCUCAAGUGCUUUGUUAUUUUAGUUUUUUUUUUGAGUUUUCAUGUGGUACUUAAUUCUUGGAUUGUAGUUGCAGUUAUCUGAUAGUGUUGGUGAUUUAUUAUCUUCCAGUUUCCUACUUCUCCUUUUUGACUAUCCGAACGAAGCAAAGGUUCAGAGUGAUUCGUGUAGGGUGUAAGCAGGGUUGGAGUUUCCAGACCGCUGAUUGGCGAUUUUGAGGUACCACCCUUUUAAUUAUAGUAAUGGAUGGAAGUUUACACGGGCUAAUACUGAGAUGUGGUUUGACUGUGGUUUGGAGUUUCCUUUUGUAGUCUUAAAUUUUAGUUCUUCCUCUUCUAUUUUCUUCAAUAUCGCUCCCAAUAUAAAUUCAUUGGUUCCAAGCCACCGUUAAAUGAGUAAACUUUUGAAUUACUGUAAUCAUUGGUAGAUGAAAAAACUGAGCCGUGUAAUAUGAUAAAAGAUUGCUUACUUAUAGAUAACUGAGUGUAGUUAACUUAGAUAUGUUUGGUGUCAAUUAUCUAGAAAUACCAGCGUUACUUAAAUUCCUUCUUCAUCUCAAAACAGAAUCAAAUGCACAAUAUUGUAUGAGAAAAGUAGUUAAAUAAUUGAUUAGAAAAGAUAUUCAUAUGCUAUUUUUGUAAGAACAUAUAUUUAUACUUCACGACGUGUAACUUCAACGUGAAAUCCUAGGAACUCAACUUAGGAAACAUUUUUUGCAAGAUGGUAUAGCUUGCAAGAGACAAGAUUACAACGAAGAUAAUAUGCUUAGAUCGGCUGUGAUGAAACAACCUCCAUGUCAUUGGACUGUUCUGCAAAGUUGAAAAUUUAUUUGGCCUACUUGAUAUUUACAAUAACUUGAAAUAUACUUUGAAAACUAUUUGGUCACUUACCUCGAAGACUUCAAAAUCCUACUGUUUGUUCCUUACUCAUCACUUUGGAGCUGUCUUACUGCUACCUUCAGUAUCUGCUAGCUUUCUUCACUUCUUUGCCAUGAUCACUUCUAUUACACUUUUUGACCUUUGUUAAUUUAAGUAGUCUCUUCAAUAAAUGAGCUCUCUUUGUUAAACAGACACAAUUGUAACUUCAUGUGCAAAGAAGUGAAGAAAGCUAUUAAAGAUAUGCAAUUUAAAGAUGAAAUCUGCAAUAAAGUUUUAAGCGUACCGUUUCAUUUUGAAUUUUUAGCUGUCUCAUCUAUGACGUCUAAUAUUUUAUCUUAUUAUAAAAUCUACAAGAAGUAUAUUACAAAGGCAAGUCUGUACUUUGUCUACUUUUAUAUGAACAUGACAAGAGGGGUUGCUCUGAUGGUAAGCAACCUCCACUUCCAACCAAGAGGUUGUGAGUUCGAGUCUCCCAAGAGCAAGGUGGGAAGUUCUUGGAGGAAAGGAUGCUGGGUCUAUUUGGAAACAGCAUCUCUACCCCAGGGUACCCAAGGGUAGGGGUAAGGUCUGCAUACACACUACCCUUUUCAGACCCCAUUAAAUGAGAUUAUAAUAGGUUGUUAUUGAUAAAUGGUCAUUACUUUGUAUUUGUGCAGGUGUUUUUUCAAGGACGGAUAAGAAGAAAAAACACUACGCUUGGGAGAUGCAUCACUUUUUGUGUGUAUAUAAUAUAUAUGAGUGGAUAUUUUUUCAAAACUGUAUGUCAAUUAGCAUGAUGAUGUUGGGCCCGUGAGCGAGCCAUCAGUUCCUAGUAAAACUUAAAAUUGAAAGAAAUUGAUGAUAAUAUAAAACUUAAAAUCGACAAAUAUUUAUGUACACUGAACUUUCUAUAUUUAAAGAAAAAUUCACUUUAUUUAACACAUUAUUCAACUUGCUUUCUAGCA
Molecule: long non-coding RNA, 2244 nt
Filed under: Nicotiana benthamiana
Lineage: Eukaryota; Viridiplantae; Streptophyta; Magnoliopsida; Solanales; Solanaceae
Description: long non-coding RNA (NBEN_LNC029707)
Source: RNAcentral